GGCCGAGCGGUUAAGGCGAAAGAUUAGAAAUCUUUUGGGAUUUUCCCGCGCAGGUUCGAGUCCUGC
RNAcentral lists this transfer RNA (66 nucleotides) under Geotrichum reessii. Its description in RNAcentral is "Galactomyces reessii tRNA-Ser". It matches the Rfam family "tRNA", at positions 9 to 63 of the family's 71-position model. Rfam says of the family: Transfer RNA (tRNA) molecules are approximately 80 nucleotides in length. Their secondary structure includes four short double-helical elements and three loops (D, anti-codon, and T loops). Lineage: Eukaryota; Fungi; Ascomycota; Dipodascomycetes; Dipodascales; Dipodascaceae. The record is from RNAcentral. RNAcentral also lists the same sequence under 1 other name.